This 292-nucleotide ribosomal RNA is filed under the name uncultured bacterium. RNAcentral describes it as "partial 16S ribosomal RNA". It matches the Rfam family "Bacterial small subunit ribosomal RNA", at positions 505 to 796 of the family's 1533-position model. The record is from RNAcentral.
GUGCCAGCAGCCGCGGUAAUACGUAUGGGGCGAGCGUUGUUCGGAUUUAUUGGGCGUAAAGGGCGUGUAGGCGGCUCAUCAAGUCUGGUGUGAAAACGCAAGGCUUAACCUUGCAUAGGCGCUGGAAACUGGUGGGCUUGAGUUCUUGAGGGGAAGCUGGAAUUCCAGGUGUAGGGGUGAAAUCUGUAGAUAUCUGGAAGAACACCGGUGGCGAAGGCGAGCUUCUAUCAGAGGACUGACGCUGAGGCGCGAAAGCGUGGGGAGCAAACAGGAUUAGAAACCCCUGUAGUCC